UAGAGUUUGAUCAUGGCUCAGGAUGAACGCUAGCGACAGGCUUAACACAUGCAAGUCGAGGGGCAGCGGGGCGGCAGGCUUGCCUGCCGUUGCCGGCGACCGGCGCACGGGUGAGUAACACGUAUGCAACCUGCCCGUGGCAGGGGGAUAAGCGGGGGAAACCCCGUCUAAUACCGCGUAACGCGGCCUAGGGACAUCCCAAGGCCGCCAAAGGGAGCAAUCCCGGCCACGGAUGGGCAUGCGGCGCAUUAGCUAGUCGGCGGGGUAACGGCCCACCGAGGCGACGAUGCGUAGGGGUUCUGAGAGGAAGGCCCCCCACACUGGUACUGAGACACGGACCAGACUCCUACGGGAGGCAGCAGUGAGGAAUAUUGGUCAAUGGGCGCGAGCCUGAACCAGCCAAGUCGCGUGAGGGAGGACGGCCCUACGGGUUGUAAACCUCUUUUGCCGGGGAGCAACGGGCGUCACGUGUGGCGCCACUGAGAGUACCCGGAGAAAAAGCAUCGGCUAACUCCGUGCCAGCAGCCGCGGUAAUACGGAGGAUGCGAGCGUUAUCCGGAUUUAUUGGGUUUAAAGGGUGCGUAGGCGGAUCGUUAAGUCAGUGGUCAAAUUGAGGGGCUCAACCCCUUCCCGCCAUUGAAACUGGCGUUCUUGAGUGGAAGAGAAGUAUGCGGAAUGCGUGGUGUAGCGGUGAAAUGCAUAGAUAUCACGCAGAACCCCGAUUGCGAAGGCAGCAUGCCGGCUUCCGACUGACGCUGAAGCACGAAAGCGUGGGGAUCGAACAGGAUUAGAUACCCUGGUAGUCCACGCGGUAAACGAUGAGCGCUAGGUGUCCGGGGGGAAUGGCCCCUGGGUGCCACAGCGAAAGCGUUAAGCGCUCCACCUGGGGAGUACGCCGG
Molecule: ribosomal RNA, 899 nt
Filed under: uncultured bacterium
Lineage: Bacteria
Description: bacterial SSU rRNA
Rfam family: Bacterial small subunit ribosomal RNA
Source: RNAcentral